GUAUGUUGCCUGCUUCCUGCCCGUGGCAACCUCGUCGCCCACCCAUGGAGUCGCUCGGUGGCUCCCGGCCGGUGGCGGCGAGGCCGAGCCCAGUUAGGGGCAGGCGCCGGUGGCCUUGGCGCGGAGGAGCAGCAGGUUCGGCGGCCUGGCGCGUCGAGGCGGCGUGAAGGCGAAGGUGCGGCGGAGCAGCCGGCUCACGGUCCUGGCGUCGACAAGCAUGGGCCCGACGGCACGGUGCGCAGGCGCGAGGAAGAGCGUGCUGCGGAGCAGCAGGCUCGCGGCCAUGUCGCGGACGAGCAGGGGCGCGACGUCAUAGUGCGCAGGUGCGAGGACGAGCGCGCGGCGGAGCAGCAGGCUCGUGGACGAGCACGGCCCCGACGGCACAGUGCGCCAGCGCGAGUACGGGCGUGCGGCGGAGCGGCAGAGGCUCGGACGAGCAUGGGCCCGACGGCAUAGUGCGCAGCGGACGUCCCGUGGGCGAGCUCGCGGCCACGUUGUGGCCGAGUAGUGGUCCGACGACACUGUGUGCGGCGUUGCCCAUUCUUAAUGAUAGUCUUCCGACAAUGCUCCUGGAGUCGAAGUAUCGCCGGUGCAAUUAAGGAGCCACUCGAUUCUUCACCCUUGUCGCAUUGAAGACAAGCUCGGCUUUGCGCAAGGGGGAAGGCGACCCGUGCUCAAUAGGUUCUUCGCAUGUAGAGGACGAGCCGAGGAAAGGAGGCGCGGAGCUUCUUCCCUGCCCUCGCCGUGGUGAGCAUCGCACGGGUGGACAUCUUUGGCUCGGUUAGCGUCAUGGCAUCACUCCGGGUGCUCGGGCGACGUAGCAGGAGGUGGCAUCGACCAUGAUCAUUUUGUCGAACAGCUUGCGGGCGUGGCCGGCAAGGUGAGGGGGCACGCAUGGCGUGACAGAUGGAUGUGUAGCAAGCUGCGAACGCGGGCGCGGGGCGCAUGCACGACCCCGCAUGAGGCCGGGCGCGUCAUGGCGCCGGUUUCGGAGGCGGGUGGCGCGGCACCUGAGGCGAGGCGCGACGCAACUUGGUCAUUGACGCGGCAGUGUGCGGACGCGUGGGGAGCCAGGCGCGUGCGUGGCGAGGCGCGGAGCCAGGCGCCGUCGGACGCCGGUCGCGGCAAGGCGCGGACUCCGCUCGUGGUGGGUCGUGGACGUGAUGCGGCGCGACCUGAGAUGUCGGUCGCUUGACCGAACAACUUGCGGACGGCCGUCCCUUCUUCGUUUUUUUAGGUUCGUGCGAUCAAGCACGAAAUCCAUCGGGGUAUGGCGUCGGCUUCGUGCUUGAAAUCCAUCGGGGUAUGGCGUCGGCUUCGGAUGCACGUGACGCGGCACGCCAGGGCGAGGCUUGGGGCAAAUCGUCGAACACCCUUCGGGCGAGAGGCCGGCGGUUGUGCUCGUGGGCUAGGCCCUUUGCUUCAGUUGGCUGGACCGAAGGAAGGCCGUGGGCCUUGGGAAGAACGUUGGGCCACCAAGGGGAGCCGGGCUCCCUUGUUAUCUCUUUUUGCUUUGUGCAGUCUGGGCCGACGCGCAGGCAGGCCGCAGGAGGGCUUCGGGGGGGUCAGGCUCCCCCUUUUUUUUUGUUUCUUCACGGCGCUGGACCAUUUCUGAGGGAUGGCACUCCCGUUUCUUUUAUUGCUCGGUCGGUGGUGGAGUGAGGUUAUGCGGCAUUUUUUGCCGUAGAUUUUUUACAGUUGCUUCCUUAGGAAUUUUUGCAACCUUGUACUAAUCUUUUGUGUGUCGCAUUUUGUAGGUGAGAUGAAUGGGGUUGCCUCUUCAUGUUCGCUUGGCUAGGUGUAAGAUAGAAGGUGUGGAUUUUUUAUCACCGAGAUGAUUGCACCCUAACUUGGUGGAGGUUAGGGUUUCCUUUUUCUCAAGGACCAUCUCGAUAUAGUCCGAUCCUCUUGGGAUGCAGACUUUUGUUUGACCACAGUCUUGGUGGUAUUUUGCCCCAAAGGAAUUGAGGUAUUUGUUCAACGGAGUCCAAUCGCAUUGAAGCAAGGACCUUGAUUGUCUGGCAAUCUUGGAGUGAGCCGCCUAGCGAAUCUUGGCGAGAUUCCCUUUUUUUGUAUGUUUCCAUCGCAACUUGGUUACGCGCCAUGUGACGGGUUUUAUUGUGCUUGGCACUCCAGUCAAAGAUGGCGUUUCAACCAUGUCACCGAAGCCUUUGCAAGGAGGCGACGCCCUUUGUGGCGUUCGAGUUAUUGGCGCUCUUGGGCACAAAACUCGAGCUCGUUUACCUAUUUUUGGUACCGUGAUAGUUGUAUCCGGUGUUUCUUGAGUUGACAUUGGUGCCGAGAAAAAAAAGGAGGAGGCCUCGGGCUCUCUCCAAGCCAUGUAGAUUGCCGUGGGCUACCCACUCCAAGAUUUAGACUUGGUUCGAGGCUUGCUGGAGGUCGUUAACCUCGUCACACUUUUGUCAGUCAGGCUGACGUGGCGCCCUAAGGUUGUGAUGACCUUGUUGGGCGAGGAAGUUCCUCCGGAGCACGAUGGUACUCAGUGGUCCAAAAUUCCUCACUUUGUGAUGAGUUUCCGACCUCACCCUUCCGGAGGGUAUUUGUGAGGUAUGAGCUUCUGUCGCCCUUGGAGUCGACAAGUCACCUCUGAUGCUUGCGUAUGUGCUUUGCACAUUGUCCUUUUGACAUAGCCGUAUGACUUGCGUGUAGCUGGCCAUAUGCCUGCAAUGCAUCCAUUUGUUUUGCUCCAUGUAUCGCUAUGUUGUUAACAUUAACGGCAAUCUCAACUUUUAGCUCAACAUGUGUUUUUUAGUACAA
This is a long non-coding RNA of Brachypodium distachyon (stiff brome), 2778 nucleotides long. RefSeq lists it as uncharacterized. Lineage: Eukaryota; Viridiplantae; Streptophyta; Magnoliopsida; Poales; Poaceae. The record is from RefSeq and is a predicted model, not a curated record. The transcript is spliced from 4 exons.